Manis javanica (Malayan pangolin) is the source of this 883-nucleotide non-coding RNA. NCBI's taxonomy places the organism in Eukaryota, Metazoa, Chordata, Mammalia, Pholidota, Manidae. The record is from RefSeq and is a predicted model, not a curated record.
CCCAGGAGUCGGGGAGGUCCGGUAGCUCGGAUGCGCGCUAAACGCGGCUGCCAUUUUGGAGUCGGGCAGCUGCGACGGCGGCCGGGUCUGGACCGGGGGGAAAGGAGGAGCCAGUCAGUGCCUUGGCUCAGAACAGGUGCUCACAAAUGAGUGGUAAAUGAAUUGGUGAAUCCCUUAAUACCUGAAUCAGACCACCACAAAAGCAUCUCCAGCUGAAAUCUUGUUGGAAAGGCACCCAGCUGCCCAGCCCAGGAAACCACAGUAGUAAAACACUGAGAAGCCAAUCUCCUCUCCCAGCUGGCAUGAAUUAAUACCAGGUGUAUUGGCACACAGUCUUGGAGCUCCACUCAUCAAGAUGAGACCUUCUGUCCCCUCUUUUUGGCAAGUUAAAAUUUUAAAUGAAUGGAAAGAGGAAAUGUAAAGGAAGACCUUUGCCACCGCUUCUGAAUGAAGUUCUUUUAUUUCCAUCUCUCUAAAAUGAUCUCUCCUUGACUAUGAUUUAUUGUGUAAAUCUUUUUCAGCUCUAUCCUUGAUCUGCCAGUAAACAUCGUUCUCAAUGUCUGUUGAGGAUAUAUUAGGAUGAGAGUACCAAGCUCCAGGAAGACUGUAUCUACUUUCAAGAAAUUUAUGAUAAUUCAAAAAGUAUACUCAGGCUUUUCAAGAUGUCUUCCUAUUAUUGAGCACCUACUCAAUACCAUACUCAGCAUUUUCAUAUAUGCUGUCUGACUUAGUCCACACCACCCUGCAAGAUAGGUUUUUUAUUACCUUCCUUUCUUCAAGAUCUCAAAGACAGUAAAUGACAGAAUUGAGAUUCUAUAUGCAAAACACAGAUUUGGUGAUUGUAUACUCAUGGUGAAUGUGUCCACACUGGCAGAUGAAUAUA